RNAcentral lists this long non-coding RNA (229 nucleotides) under Elaeis guineensis (African oil palm). Its description in RNAcentral is "long non-coding RNA (EGUI_LNC039745)". The record is from RNAcentral. Lineage: Eukaryota; Viridiplantae; Streptophyta; Magnoliopsida; Arecales; Arecaceae.
GCUGGGGAUAGUCUGAUCUAAAGUGGCCCGACUUCUUGCAUUCAUAACAGAUGAUGGACUGCUCUUUUUUCUUUUCUUUACUUGGCUCCCCUUUAGCUGGUGGUCUUCUCUUGGUCCAUUGUCACUUUCUCCUUAUGAAAUGUCUGAAUUUUCUGAUGAUUAGGGCUAAGUCCUCAUCUUUUUUGCUGUUCUCUAAUUUUUCUGAGUCUUCUUCUUCUUGAGCUGUUGA